Molecule: ribosomal RNA, 256 nt
Filed under: uncultured bacterium
Lineage: Bacteria
Description: partial 16S ribosomal RNA
Rfam family: Bacterial small subunit ribosomal RNA
Source: RNAcentral
UACGAAGGGGGCUAGCGUUGCUCGGAAUCACUGGGCGUAAAGGGCGCGUAGGCGGUGCGAGAAGCGUGUGGUGAAAGGCCGGGGCUCAACCCCGGCUCGGCCGUGCGGACUCUCGCGCUUGGUGAGUGCUGUAGAGGCGGGCGGAAUUCCGGGUGUAGCGGUGGAAUGCGUAGAGAUCCGGAAGAACACCGGUGGCGAAGGCGGCCCGCUGGGCAGUGACUGACGCUGAGGCGCGACAGCGUGGGGAGCAAACAGG